Molecule: ribosomal RNA, 410 nt
Filed under: uncultured microorganism
Description: bacterial SSU rRNA
Rfam family: Bacterial small subunit ribosomal RNA
Source: RNAcentral
CAGCCGCCGCGGUAAUACGUAGGGUGCGAGCGUUAAUCGGAUUUACUGGGCGUAAAGCGUGCGCAGGCGGCCCGUUAAGACAGGUGUGAAAUCCCUGGGCUCAACCUAGGAAUUGCGCUUGUGACUGGCGGGCUCGAGUACGGUAGAGGGGGGUGGAAUUCCUGGUGUAGCAGUGAAAUGCGUAGAGAUCAGGAGGAACACCGAUGGCGAAGGCAGCCCCCUGGGCCUGUACUGACGCUCAUGCACGAAAGCGUGGGGAGCAAACAGGAUUAGAUACCCUGGUAGUCCACGCCCUAAACGAUGGGUACUAGCCGUUUGGUGCGCGAUAGCGCUGAGUGGCGAAGCUAACGCGUGAAGUACCCCGCCUGGGGAGUACGGCCGCAAGGUUGAAACUUAAGGGAAUUGGCGGG